GACGAACGCUGGCGGCGUGCUUAACACAUGCAAGUCGAACGCUGAAGCUCAGCUUUUGUUGGGUGGAUGAGUGGCGAACGGGUGAGUAACACGUGAGUAACCUGCCCCCUUCGUUGGGAUAACGCCCGGAAACGGGUGCUAAUACUGGAUAUUCACUGGUCUUCACAUGGGGGUUGGUGGAAAGGGUUUUUCUGGUGGGGGAUGGGCUCGCGGCCUAUCAGCUUGUUGGUGGGGUGAUGGCCUACCAAGGCUUUGACGGGUAGCCGGCCUGAGAGGGUGACCGGUCACAUUGGGACUGAGAUACGGCCCAGACUCCUACGGGAGGCAGCAGUGGGGAAUAUUGCACAAUGGGCGCAAGCCUGAUGCAGCGACGCCGCGUGAGGGAUGGAGGCCUUCGGGUUGUGAACCUCUUUCGCUCAUGGUCAAGCCGCAACAAUGGUUGUGGUGAGGGUAGUGGGUAAAGAAGCGCCGGCUAACUACGUG
Molecule: ribosomal RNA, 483 nt
Filed under: uncultured bacterium
Lineage: Bacteria
Description: partial 16S ribosomal RNA
Rfam family: Bacterial small subunit ribosomal RNA
Source: RNAcentral